UGCGUGAGGGAAGAGCAGAGUCAUAGACUCUCCUCAGACUAUCUUACUGACAGACAAGUUACAGCCCCUGAAAAUGCACUGCAGGGACUGUGCCCUGGUGACCAGCUCAGGGCAUCUGCUGCACAGUCGGCAAGGCUCCCAGAUUGACCAGACAGAGUGUGUCAUCCGCAUGAAUGACGCCCCCACACGCGGCUAUGGGCGUGACGUGGGCAAUCGCACCAGCCUGAGGGUCAUCGCGCAUUCCAGCAUCCAGAGGAUCCUCCGCAACCGCCAUGACCUGCUCAACGUGAGCCAGGGCACCGUGUUCAUCUUCUGGGGCCCCAGCAGCUACAUGCGGCGGGACGGCAAGGGCCAGGUCUACAACAACCUGCAUCUCCUGAGCCAGGUGCUGCCCCGGCUGAAGGCCUUCAUGAUUACUCGCCACAAGAUGCUGCAGUUUGAUGAGCUCUUCAAGCAGGAGACUGGCAAAGACAGGAAGAUAUCCAACACUUGGCUCAGCACUGGCUGGUUUACAAUGACAAUUGCACUGGAGC
This 533-nucleotide small RNA is filed under the name Pan troglodytes (chimpanzee). RNAcentral describes it as "processed transcript". The record is from RNAcentral. Lineage: Eukaryota; Metazoa; Chordata; Mammalia; Primates; Hominidae.